Molecule: ribosomal RNA, 434 nt
Filed under: uncultured bacterium
Lineage: Bacteria
Description: partial 16S ribosomal RNA
Rfam family: Bacterial small subunit ribosomal RNA
Source: RNAcentral
AGCGAACGCUGACGGCAGGCCUAACACAUGCAAGUCGAACGAACCUUUCGGGGUUAGUGGCGGACGGGUGAGUAACACGUGGGAACGUGCCUUUAGGUUCGGAAUAACUCAGGGAAACUUGUGCUAAUACCGAAUGUGCCCUUCGGGGGAAAGAUUUAUCGCCUUUAGAGCGGCCCGCGUCUGAUUAGCUAGUUGGUUGAGGUAAUGGCUCACCAAGGCGACGAUCAGUAGCUGGUCUGAGAGGAUGAUCAGCCACAUUGGGACUGAGACACGGCCCAAACUCCUACGGGAGGCAGCAGUGGGGAAUCUUGCGCAAUGGGCGAAAGCCUGACGCAGCCAUGCCGCGUGAAUGAUGAAGGUCUUAGGAUUGUAAAAUUCUUUCACCGGGGACGAUAAUGACGGUACCCGGAGAAGAAGCCCCGGCUAACUUCGUG